Molecule: long non-coding RNA, 8678 nt
Filed under: Linum usitatissimum (flax)
Lineage: Eukaryota; Viridiplantae; Streptophyta; Magnoliopsida; Malpighiales; Linaceae
Description: long non-coding RNA (LUSI_LNC008211)
Source: RNAcentral
AACAACAGUUGCUCAUGAAGCAGAGAAAUCUAGCACACCCCAUGAUUCAGUCACAACUUCAGCAACAACAGCAGCCACAACAAAAUGCUUUGCAGUCAUCUCAAUUCCAGCAGCCUCAGCAAAAUGCUUUGCAGUCAGCUUCUAUGUCUAGCCUUUCGCAGAAUCAGUCAUCCUCAGUCCAACAGUCAACACAAUCCAUGCUCAGGCAGCAACAAUUUCAACAGCAGGCUGUUGGUCUUCAUCAACAACCAUCGUCAAUGAUGCAGCAGCAGUUGCUAUCUACACAACAACAAUCACAAGUCUUGCCAACACAGCAGCAGCAACAACAACAGCAACCGAUGCAUUCUCAGCAACAACUAGCGUCUCUAGAUUCUACGGCACAAACUGGACAGACAAAUGGAGUGGAUUGGCAAGAGGAAACCUAUCAAAAGGUUGGUGAAUACUGUGAUGGGUUGGCUCGUCUGUUUAUUCCUUUGGAUUUCAAGUGCCAAUUCUUAAUUUCAUACUAACCGUUGAGUCCACUCUUAAUUUCAUACUAAUCUUCUCAUUUUUCUCAGAUAAAAGCCAUGAAGGAGAUGUACUUGCCUGAACUAAAUGAAUUGAUACAAAAAAUUUCUACAACGUUACAGCAGGUGUGUACUUUCUUAUAUUUGUCAAAUCAGUUUUGUGUACGUUUUUCCAGUCAUUAGCCACUUGCAUCAUUUUGCUCUUCGUUUUUUUGUGUAUAGUUUCUUCGUUUAUUGAUCGAUUGAUGAUUUUUUCUUAGUUUCGGUACUUCAUUUCAUCGUCCCCUGUAACUUAAACUAAGGAACCCGGACUACUUCUUAUUUGUGCCCUAGCUUUGCAUUGAAUUUUACAGAAGCUCUAGUGUCAUUCUGAAAUGCUGCUUUUUAUUUCUUCAGCAUGAUUCACUUUCGCAGCAGCUGAAGUCGGAUCAGCUUGAAAAUUUGAAGAUGUUCAAGACUAUGCUGGAGCGCACGAUAAAUUUCUUACAAGUACCCAAAGAAAAUGUCAUGCCGAGUUUUAAAGACAAGCUUGGAUCCUAUGAGAAGCAGAUUAUGAGUUUCCUAACUACACAUAGGCCGGAAAUGCCUAUGCCUCAAAUGCAACAAGGGCAACUUCCCCUUUCUCAAAUGAACCCUCAGUUGCAACCAAUGACCAUGCAAAGGUCAGUAUCAUCGAUGCAGCAGAACAAUAUUUCAAACAUGCAGCAAUCGAUGAUGAACUCUCUCCAGCCAGGUUCUAAUAUCAGUUCAGGACUAGGAAAUGCGAUGACCUCAUCACAGGGGGUUACUAUGGGAUCUAUACAACAGAACUCUCAAAGUGGGUUGACCAUGUUACAGCAAAGUCAGCAUCUUCAGUCGAAUCUGCAACGGCAGCAACAGCAGCAGCAGCGUGCUGGUUAUCUCCCACAGCAGAUGAAAUCCGGAGUGUCCUUUCCUAUUUCUCCUCAAUUGCUUCAAACUUAUUUGUCCCAGCCACCACAGCUUUCUACUCUGAAAGUUGACCAGCAGAACCUACUUCCAUCACUUCCAAAAACUGGUAGUCCUCCUCUUUCAACUCCUUUACUUGCAGAGUUCUCCGUUCCAGAGAAAUCAGCUGUUUCUGGGAAGUCGGCUGUUACAGACCAUUCUGCCGUGUUAGUUCCAAUGGCUGACAUUGCAGCAGAAGAUUUUGAUGCGGAUUCCGUGUUGGAGGAACUGCGUCAUAUUCGACAGAAGCUACUAUUGAUGGAGAAGAGGUUCAGCCUCGUGCUCGGUACCCUACUUGGGAUUGUGUUGGGAUCUGUGUUUGCUAUCCUAUAUGGUAGUUUGUUUUAGUUUUUGUCCUGCACUUGGUGUUUGCUUUAACUUGUAAUAAUCGAAGGUGACUGAUCUGGAUUUCAAUGAAUUGCUCUGUAUCGGUUCAUUUGUUUGUUGUGAACUGUGGCGGCUGGUCAGUCGCAUGUACUUUUCAAGAGUGACGCCAAGACCCGUUAACUAUAGUCCGGCAAGGAAGAGCCAUCCUUGGUGCCAGCGUCUACGCUGCUCUUGAUCGGCAGUCUCUGUCGUCGUUGGUCGCCGCCAUCCUGCUUGUACUCAUUUGUAGAAUAUGUACCGUUCUUAGAGAACGAGUAUGUGUGAAAAGACUAGUACAAAACGUCGUUGGAAAAAGAAUUUCUGAAGAGUAGCUCCGACAAAGGUGGUCCGGUCGGUGGGCAGGGUGUUUUAAAAACUUGCCGGAAAAUUUUAUGUCCUGCAGAAGUCGCCGCAGCUCCAGUCGCCAGAACUCCCCGUCCGGCCACCGAAGUUAAAAAUUGCCACUAAAAAAUAUUAGUUUAGAAAAUGACUUAUUUCCCCUCAAGGGUAGAGUGUUGGAAUUUCACGGAAUUGAGAAUCCACUUGAAAAAAUCAUGGAAAUUAGAUUGUCAUAGGAAAUUGAAUUUAUGUUUCUAUGCUGAAAAUAAAUUUCAGUCGAGAAUGUUAAAUCAAAAGGGAAAAUUUUAACUUUCUUAUUGUAACAAAAAAUAGUCACAUUUUCGUUAAAUUUUCGACCUAUCGAACAUAAUCUUAUUUGAUUUCGUCCUAAAAUUUCGAAAAUUAUCACUCUAAUUAUAUAAUUACAUGGAUAUCCUUCAAUCUUUCUAUUUUUAAAGCUAAACCUUACUCAAACGAUCAUUUCCAAAAUUGCACCGAUGAAUGACCCGAAGCUUGAAGUCGAAGAUCCUAUCUCAGAGGUAAAAGAAAUUAUUUUAUUUUUUGUAAUUAGCGCCGGCGGCUGACGUCCGGCCAAGAAUAAACAACUCAGAAUUAAAACCACCGCGCCAAAAAGGAAAAAUAUUCAAAUCUCCUCCUCCUCAGUCGUCGGAAGCUUCCGUCGCCACUGAUUCAUUUGCUUUUAUAUCGAGUUUGGACGAUCGCCGACUGUGUGAGAAAACGAUACUGUUAUCACUCUUCCGAUCAGCUACAUCCAUUGACAACAUCGCGGCGUCGAAUCAACGGUCUUUCACAAAACCUUUUAUCGCGCACAAUUCUCUGAGCAAGUCGUAAACCGGACGAGCAGAAUUAUGCGCUUCUGAUCGUUUCUCGUAGAUAUGAUUAAGGAUGCACUGUUCUUAUGUCUGAUCCUAAUUCUUUUAUCCAGUCUGAUUAUUUGCAGAAUAUACCAUUGAAGAUGGUCAAAAUGGAAAGCGAAUCGCAGCUGCCAGCAGGCUACGACAGUAAACUCCCUGAUAUGGAUGGGAAUAAUUUGAUGCCUGCUGUUCAAGUGGGAGAAGCUGCUGUGGAAGGGGGUGACUGGAGAGCUACAUUGCAGGCCGGCUCGAGGCAGGGAAUCAGGAACAAAAUGUGAGUUCAGUGUAGCCAUUAUGAACGACGAACAAGUGUAAAGAAUUCUAUACCUGUGUGUGAAAUAUACUGUCGCCAUUUGGUAACAACUAAUUGUUUUCUCAAGGCUUCUUAAUGUUGGAGAAUGAAGAACAGUUGAUUGAUUACCUUCUUCUUUAGUAUCUAUUAAUUUUUCUAAUCACUGGAGAUCCUGAAUUAUAGAUGUGGCUAUGACUUAUGGUACAGAAUGGACAUAUUGAAGAUGCAUCUACCUUUUUCUGGCGAACAGGGGCUGCAAGAACUAGAGACAAUUGCUGAACGAUUUGAGGGAAAGAUUUAUAAUUCUGCCACUAGUCAGGUUUGUGUUAAUAGGCUGGUGAUGCUUGUAAAACGUCUGCUUCUGAUCGUUUCCCCAUAGAUAUGAUUGAGGAUGCACUAUUCUUAUGUCACUCUAAUUCUUUUAUCCAGUCUGAUUAUUUGCGGAGGAUAUCAUUCAAGAUGCUCACAAUGAAGAGCAAAUCACAGCCGGUUAAUUCAGCAGGCAACAGCAGUAAACCCCCUGAUCCAGGAGUUAAUAUGCAGGCUUCUGUGAUGAUGUCACCUUCUACAUCUAGCCAUCUGCGGAAUCCGUUAGCCUCAGUCCAACAGUCAACACAAUCCAUGCUUCAGCAACAAUUGCAACAGCAACAGGUGAUAUUGAUGCAACAGCAGCAGCAUUUUCAACAAUUGAUGUCUCAUCUUCAGUCACGUCCGGGACAACUGCAGCAACAACUUGGUCUGAACCAGCAGAUUAUUUCUCUCCAAAGGGAGAUGCAAAAGAGGCUACAAGCUUUAGGGCAAUCAAUGAACAUGCAAAGCUCAGUAUCAUCGAUGCAUCCGAACAAUAUGUCAAACAUACAUCAUGGUUUAUCCAGCCAAUUGAUGAUGAACUCUCUCCAGGCAGGUUCUAAUACCGAUUCUGGACAAAGAAAUGCUAUGGCCUCAUCACUGGGGACUACUAUGGGAUCUAUACAACAAAACUCUUCAAGCGCUUCCCAGCAGGCAAAUAUUGGUGGUAUGUCCUCGCAAAGUGGGAUGCCCAUGUGGCAGCAAAGCCAGCAUCUUCAGUCCAAUUCCAAUAUGCUUCAACAGCAACAAGUAUUGCAGUCACAGCAGUUCGAACAGCGACAGAUGCAGUUUCUGCAACAUCAGCAUCAACAACAACUUGGUCCGACCCACCAGAAUAUUUCGCUGCAAAGGGAGAUGCAACAGAGGCUACAAGCUUCGGUUCUACCACAGCAGAAACUGUUAUAUCAAUCAAGUAUGUUUCUUCCAACUCUAGUCUUUUCCAGCUAAGAUUCUGGAGUAUCUCUGUCAUGUUCGUUUACACAAUAAAAAUCAACUCUUACAACCAGUUACCCCUUUGAAAGUGUUGGAACGUCUGGUUUAUGGUGUUAUGCUUGUUGAUUGUGUCAUAUAUUGUUGUUCGAAAAACCAUUAUGUAUGUGUCAUUAAAUAUGCUGACAUUUUGAACAGAUUUAUGGUAUAAUUUAAUCUGUCUCGAAAUUUUGCAACUUCAUCACUAAUCCUAAAUGUCCUCGAGUUAUGGACCUGGUAGCAAAAAUCUUCAUUGAUGCUGGUUUUUGUUGUAGCGUCUCUAGAUUCUACUGAGACAAGUGGAGUGGAUUGGCAAGAAGAAUUCUAUCAAAAGGUUGGAAUUCAAGUGCUAACCGUUGAGUACACUCUUAAUUUCAUACUAAUCUUCUGAUUUUUUUUUCCAGAUAAAAGCCAUGAAGGAGAUGUACUUGCCUGAACUAAAUGAAAUGUACCAAAAAAUUGCUACAAAGUUAGAGCAGGUGUGUACUUUCUUAAAUUCGUCAUUACUCACUUGCAUCAUUUGACCUAACCUGUGUCCUGAUUUCACUUGCAUUGCGCAUUAGCUGGUUGAUUUUUCGUGUAUAGUUUCUUCGGUUUAUCGAUCGAUUGAUGGGUUUUUCAUAGUUUCGGGACACUUCUUUAUACUGUCCUACUUCGUUUCAUCGUCCCCUGCAAUUUAAACCAAGGAACCUGGACGACUUUUUCCGUGUGUCCUAACUUUGCACUCUAAAAUGCUUCUUCUUUUUCGUCUCCAGCAUGAUUCACUUCCACAGCAGCCGAAGUCGGAUCAGCUUGAAAAGUUGAAGAUGUUCAAGACUAUGCUGGACCGCAUGAUAAAUUUCUUACAAGUACCUAAAGAAAAUGUCAUUCCGAGUUUUAAAGACAAGCUUGGAUCCUAUGAGAAGCAGAUUGUGAGUUUCCUGUCUGCAAAUAGGCCGAAAAAGCCGAUGCCUCAAAGCCAGCAUCUCCAGUCCAAUGCCAGUAUGCUUCACCAACAGGAUUAUGUGAAGCAAGAGCAUGAUUAAACCAGCAGUAUCAACAUCGACAGACGCAGUUACAUCAGAUUAUUUCUGCUCUCCUAAUUAGGUAGCAUAGUUAGUAAAAUGCGGUAUGAAUACAAUACAGUAUUAAAUUUUUUGGAGUUUUAUACGUCAUUUUAAUAUUUUGCAGGGCUUUUAAAAGUUUGGUAUCAGGUUUAAAAGUUAACUAGUUUUUCAUUACAGUAUGGGUCACACUAGUUUUUGAUAUCUUGAAAGGUUGUUCCUUCAUUUGUUUCGCAAUAAAAAAACACUUUGUCUCGAUUGUGAUGUGUGUUAAUAUGCCAAGCAUGAAGCAUAGUCGUUUCUUUAAUAUCCAUAGUGAUAUAUGGGGGCUAUCUCGGAUUACCUCUCCUCAAUCGAGCUAGGUGGUUCAUUGUGAUGUUCGAUGAACACACUAUGGGGUGAUAUGGAAAUUUUUCAUAAAAGAGAAGUCUGAAACAAUGGGUAUUUGCAGCAAAUUCUACACCAUGAUCGAAAGAUAAUUUCGCCCUAAAAUUUAAGUGCUGAAAAUCGAUAAUGCACGAUACUACUUCAACUCAUCCAUUGACAAUUUUAUGUCUUCUAAUGGCAUCAUUCGCUCCAACCCGUAUGUGGAGACUCUUGAACAAAACAACAUUGCAGAAGAAUCAUCACCUCCUUGACAUGGCACCAUCACUUAUGUUCGGUUUUCGGUUUUUGGGUUCCUAGGUACCUACAAGAAAGGCUUUCCACUGCAGCCCAUCAAGUUGAAUUUGAAUUUUAUUUUAGAUAUAAAAAUUGGGUAGUAGAUGAAAUUAACGAUUUGUCAAAAAAAAAAGAUGAAAAUAAUGAGGUUCGCUAAAGAAGGAAAAAUUUGAUAGAUCUUUCGGUCAAUUGUUGAAGUUAGAUGACCGUGUAAUCAAAUACAAAUACUUAAGUGAUUAUUAUAGCAUUUAAACCCCUUAAUUUAUUUUCAGUCACCACUUUCGUCUAUAAAAUUAAAACCACCGCGUAAUCCCUUUGUAUCUUUCUUCAUCGAAAAAAAAACAAACCACCGCGAUUUCUCCCUCUCAAUUAGCCCUAACUCUCUUCCUCCGUCGUCGUAGCCGGAAGCUUCCGCCACCACCGUUUCCCCCAUAUAUUUGUCGAUUGUGUGGGAAAACGAUACUGUCUCUCUUCCCAUCAGCUAUGAUCCAUUCCUAUAAUUUGUGGCGUCGAAUCAACGAUCUAUCUGACAACCUUUUACUCGCACAAUUGUCUGAGCAAACUCGUGAACUGGGCAAUUAUAAUUUCAAUAGAGGGUAUUGAUCGUUGUCUCGGAUUUCAAGUUCAGAGAAGCAUAUUUUUUUUGUUUCAAAUUCAGCUAUUGUGAAUUCUGGUUUCCUGUUGCUCGAUGAGCUAAUAGUAGAUUUGCUUGUUUCUGUAUUCAAAUAGUUCUCAGUAACAUGUAUAUUUGUUUUGAUGAACGUGGAAACUGCUAUUUAUGGGUUGUGCAGGAUAUAAUCUGUUAACUUAAUCUGCUUUAUAAUCUGAUUGGGGAGAAUGGAUGGGAAUAAUUGGAGGCCUGCUGCUCCAGGCGGAGAAGCUGCUAUGGAGGGGGGUGACUGGAGAGCUACAUUGCAGACUGACUCGAGGCAGAGAAUCGUGAACAAAAUGUGAGUUCAGUGUAGCCAUUAUGAACGACGAACAAGUAUAAAGGAUCAUGUACCCGUGUCUGACAUAUUCUUAAUUAUGAAUGUGGCUUUAACUUAUGGUACAGAAUGGAAACAUUGAAGAGGCACCUACCCUUUUCUGGUCAAGAGGGACUGCAGGAACUAAAGAAAAUUGCUAUACGAUUUGAGGAAAAGAUUUAUACUGCUGCCACUAGUCAGGUUUGUGUUAAUUGGCUGGUGAUGGUUGUAAAACGUCUGCAUGAAUUUAUUUAGGAAAAUUAUGUGCUUCUGAUCGUUUCCCGUAGAUAUGAUUGAGGAUGCACUAUUCUUAUGUCACCCUAAUUCAUUAUCCAGUCUGAUUAUUUGCGGAAGAUAUCAUUGAAAAUGCUCACAAUGGAGAGAAAAUCAGAGCUGCCUAAUUCAGCAGGCAAUGGCAGUAAACCCCCUGAUCCAGGAGGUAAUACAUAGUUAUAGUGCUCUCCCCGUUCGCAGAUUUUGUGCAUACGUAUUGAAUAAUGUUAUGAAGAAUGCUACAAUCUGCUUAUGCUCUUUAUCAAGUUCUCAUCUUUAAUGGAAGUGUGUCAAGAAAGACGUUAUUUCAAGUACCUUUUGGUUUUCGCUGCUAAUUUUUUGUGAUUGUUGUUUCUCUAAUUCCCAUCUAUAUUCAUUUUGAACAGCAUCCCCUAGUAUGCAGUCCCAAGUUCCCAGUCAAGGGCAACCACUUCCUAUUCCAUUGCCAGCUAAUCAACCUCAAGCACGCCAACAAUUGAUGUCUCAGAAUAUGCAGAACAAUAUGAAUCCUGCUGGACUCCAAAGUUCCGCUACUUUACAAACUCCGCUGCCCCCUGUUUCUGGUAUGAACCAGACUCCAAUCAAUGUCGCCGGCCAAAAUGCUAGCAUGCAGAAUAUGUCUAACAUGGCUCAGAACCCAGUUGCAACUUCAAUAGGCCAAGGGGUUUCAUCGACCGUGUUUGGAAACUCUCAUAGACAGAUGCCUGGGAGGAACCAGGUUAUUGGCCAACAACAACAGCAAUCACAGAAUUCUCAACAGUAUAAUUAUCAGCAGCAGCAGUUCCAACAACAGUUGCUCAUGAAGCAGAGAAAUAUAGCACACCCCAUGAUUCAGUCACAACUUCAGCAACAGCAGCAGCCACAGCAAAAUGCUUUGCAGUCAUCUCAAUUCCAGCAGCCUCAGCAAAAUGCUUUGCAGUCAGCUUCUAUGUCUAACCUUUCGCAGAAUCAGUCAUCCUCAGUCCAACAGUCAACACAAUCCAUGCUCAGGCAGCAACAAUUUCAACAGCAGGCUGUUGGUCUUCAUCAACAACCAUCGUCAAUGAUGCAGCAGCAGUUGCUAUCUACACAACAAC